Long non-coding RNA from Acipenser ruthenus (sterlet), 572 nucleotides. RefSeq lists it as uncharacterized. The record is from RefSeq and is a predicted model, not a curated record. NCBI's taxonomy places the organism in Eukaryota, Metazoa, Chordata, Actinopteri, Acipenseriformes, Acipenseridae. The transcript is spliced from 3 exons.
AAAAUCCUGGAUUUAUAUUGGUCAGUGAUAUAAGAACAAGCAAUUAAAGUAAUUGUGUGCUUUCGUAAUAUUACUAACCUGCAACUAAGCAAAUGUAACAGUCUGGUGAUUCAAUGAAUUGUAGCGCUUACUCGGUGGGAACCUUUGUUACAGGGAGAUGGGGUCUGGUAGGAAAAUGUUGGAGAGCGGGAUUCUGGGAAGAGCUGAGUUCGUGGUACCAGAUGUGUGAUUUUCAAUAAAGUGUGUUCAUUUAGAAGUAAUACACAGUCUACCGAGCAGAACCCCAUUUGAUACUGUGGACAGUUUAAAGAUGGAAUCAGUCCCGAUUAAAGAGGAGCUCCCUAAACUUGAACUGGUCCCCAUUAGACUGGAGUUCUCUGGACUGUCUUCCCUCCCCAUUAAACAGAAGCUCUGUGAGAUGCCAUCUGACAGCAUCAAGUCGGAGGUGUCUGGGAUUAAAGCUGAGCGCAAUGAAUUGGAGAUCUCCCAGACAGAAGAACCCCUUCCUGUGAAUGAAGAGGUGCUGGAAAUGUUACCAAGCAGAACCACGUUUGAUGCCUUGGACAAUGUGA